GCAAGCAGCCACAUCACCCUGCAACUCAUCACCCCGGCAGCCCACUGAAGCUAAGCAGGGCUGAACCUGGUCAGUACCUGGUUUGGAGACCUCCUGGGAAAACCUGUGGUUGCUGCUGGAA
RNAcentral lists this ribosomal RNA (121 nucleotides) under Lepisosteus oculatus (spotted gar). The record is from RNAcentral. Lineage: Eukaryota; Metazoa; Chordata; Actinopteri; Semionotiformes; Lepisosteidae.